AGAACUGAUAAUUAGAAAUAGUGGAAUGAAGGCGUAACGUCCUGAAACGCUAACCCUGAUACUCCGAAUGGCGUUAUAUGAUUUAGCAUAUAAGGGUCAUAAGCUCGGUGAAGUCAGUUGAGAAUACACCCUAACAAGUUAAGUUGAGGAACAGUGAACCAGAGGUGGUCAAGUGUAUGAUAGACUGGGGGUCUAAAAA
RNAcentral lists this non-coding RNA (199 nucleotides) under marine eukaryotic metagenome. The record is from RNAcentral.